UACAGAGGUCUCAAGCGUUGUUCGGAUUCAUUGGGCGUAAAGGGUGUGUAGGUGGCGCCGUAAGUCGGGUGUGAAAUUUCGGAGCUUAACUCCGAAACUGCAUUCGAUACUGCGGUGCUUGAGGACUGGAGAGGAGACUGGAAUUCAUGGUGUAGCAGUGAAAUGCGUAGAGAUCAUGAGGAAGACCAGUGGCGAAGGCGGAUCUCUGGACAGUUCCUGACGCUGAGGCACGAAGGCCAGGGGAGCAAACGGG
This 253-nucleotide ribosomal RNA is filed under the name uncultured bacterium. RNAcentral describes it as "partial 16S ribosomal RNA". It matches the Rfam family "Bacterial small subunit ribosomal RNA", at positions 524 to 776 of the family's 1533-position model. The record is from RNAcentral.